RNAcentral lists this non-coding RNA (148 nucleotides) under Homo sapiens (human). Lineage: Eukaryota; Metazoa; Chordata; Mammalia; Primates; Hominidae. The record is from Rfam by way of RNAcentral.
GCUGGGUGUGGUGGCGGGCGCCUGUAGUCCCAGCUACUCGGGAGGCUGAGGCAGGAGAAUCUCUUGUACCCGGGAGGAGGAGGUUGCAGUGAGUUGAGAUCGCACCACUGCACUCCAGCCUGGGUGACAGAGCGAGACUCUGCCUCAA